This is an unclassified non-coding RNA of Aotus nancymaae (Ma's night monkey), 113 nucleotides long. It matches the Rfam family "Y RNA". Rfam says of the family: Y RNAs are components of the Ro ribonucleoprotein particle (Ro RNP), in association with Ro60 and La proteins. The Y RNAs and Ro60 and La proteins are well conserved, but the function of the Ro RNP is not known. NCBI's taxonomy places the organism in Eukaryota, Metazoa, Chordata, Mammalia, Primates, Aotidae. The record is from Ensembl.
GGCUGGCCCAAAGGCAGUGCGCUAUCUCGAUUGAUUGUUCACAGUCAGGUACAGAACAAACUCCUUGUUCUCCUCUUGCCCUGCUUCUCACUACUGCACUUGACUAGUCUUUA